Molecule: non-coding RNA, 73 nt
Organism: Parelaphostrongylus tenuis
Lineage: Eukaryota; Metazoa; Nematoda; Chromadorea; Rhabditida; Metastrongylidae
Source: the annotation of a GenBank genome assembly
GCCUCGGUGGUGUAGUGGUAGGGCACGCGUCCUCGGUAUGGAUGAAACGCGGGUUCGAUUUCCAGCUGAGGCC